Molecule: ribosomal RNA, 449 nt
Filed under: uncultured bacterium
Lineage: Bacteria
Description: bacterial SSU rRNA
Rfam family: Bacterial small subunit ribosomal RNA
Source: RNAcentral
AACGAACGCUGGCGGCAUGCCCAACACAUGCAAGUCGAACGAAGUCUUCGGACUUAGUGGCGCACGGGUGCGUAACGCGUGGGAAUCUGCCCUUGGGUGCGGAAUAACUUCUCGAAAGGGAUGCUAAUACCGCAUAAUGUCGUAAGACCAAAGAUUUAUCGCCCAAGGAUGAGCCCGCGUAAGAUUAGCUAGUUGGUGGGGUAAAAGCCUACCAAGGCGACGAUCUUUAGCUGGUCUGAGAGGAUGAUCAGCCACACUGGGACUGAGACACGGCCCAGACUCCUACGGGAGGCAGCAGUGGGGAAUAUUGGACAAUGGGCGAAAGCCUGAUCCAGCAAUGCCGCGUGAGUGAUGAAGGCCCUAGGGUGUAAAGCUCUUUUACCAGGGAUGAUAAUGACAGUACCUGGAGAAUAAGCUCCGGCUAACUCCGUGCCAGCAGCCGCGGUAAU